AUUGAACGCUGGCGGCAUGCCUUACACAUGCAAGUCGAACGGUAACGGGUCCUUCGGGAUGCCGACGAGUGGCGAACGGGUGAGUAAUAUAUCGGAACGUGCCCAGUAGUGGGGGAUAACUGCUCGAAAGAGCAGCUAAUACCGCAUACGACCUGAGGGUGAAAGGGGGGGAUCGCAAGACCUCUCGCUAUUGGAGCGGCCGAUAUCAGAUUAGCUAGUUGGUGGGGUAAAGGCCUACCAAGGCAACGAUCUGUAGUUGGUCUGAGAGGACGAGCAGCCGCACUGGGACUGAGACACGGCCCAGACUCCUACGGGAGGCAGCAGUGGGGAAUUGUGGACAAGGGGCGCAAGCCUGAUCCAGCAAUGCCGCGUGCAGGAAGAAGGCCUUCGGGUUGUAAACUGCUUUUGUCAGGGAAGAAAUCUUCUGGGCUAAUACCCCGGGAGGAUGACGGUACCUGAAGAAUAAGCACCGGCUAACUACGUGCCAGCCGCCGCCGUAA
RNAcentral lists this ribosomal RNA (500 nucleotides) under uncultured bacterium. RNAcentral describes it as "partial 16S ribosomal RNA". It matches the Rfam family "Bacterial small subunit ribosomal RNA", at positions 30 to 523 of the family's 1533-position model. The record is from RNAcentral.